Molecule: ribosomal RNA, 245 nt
Filed under: uncultured Pseudomonadota bacterium
Lineage: Bacteria; Pseudomonadati; Pseudomonadota
Description: uncultured proteobacterium partial 16S ribosomal RNA
Rfam family: Bacterial small subunit ribosomal RNA
Source: RNAcentral
UACGGAGGGUGCAAGCGUUGUUCGGAAUUAUUGGGCGUAAAGCGCGUGUAGGCGGCUAUUUAAGUCUGAUGUGAAAGCCCGGGGCUCAACCUCGGAAGUGCAUUGGAAACUGGCGAGCUAGAGUAUGGCAGAGGGUGGUGGAAUUUCCUGUGUAGCGGUGAAAUGCGUAGAUAUUAGGAGGAACACCAGUGGCGAAGGCGACUCUCUGGACUGUAACUGACGCUGAGGCACGAAAGCGUGGGGAG